Molecule: ribosomal RNA, 286 nt
Filed under: Penicillium chrysogenum
Lineage: Eukaryota; Fungi; Ascomycota; Eurotiomycetes; Eurotiales; Aspergillaceae
Description: partial large subunit ribosomal RNA
Rfam family: Bacterial large subunit ribosomal RNA (bases 170-286)
Source: RNAcentral
AAGUUAAUUUUAGAUGCAAGUAACAUCUCUUUUAUAAGCAUUUACACAUUUAGAAUAUUAUCAUUUACAAUAGAUGAUAACAAUAUAGAUAUGUAAAUUUAUUAAUAAAAUUAGGAGAUAGAUACGUAGAUAAACCAAUUAUGAAAAAAUGAAUUAGUAUCUAGAAUUAGACCCGAAGGCUAGUGAUCUUACCAUGGUCAGGGUUAUAAAAGCCCGAACGGGUUAUCGUUGUAAAGAUAUCCGAUGAACUGUGGUAAGUUAGUGAAAGACAAAACUGACUAGUAUA